This 487-nucleotide ribosomal RNA is filed under the name uncultured bacterium. RNAcentral's name for it is "bacterial SSU rRNA". It matches the Rfam family "Bacterial small subunit ribosomal RNA", at positions 29 to 525 of the family's 1533-position model. The record is from RNAcentral.
AAUGAACGUUGGCGGCGUGGAUUAGGCAUGCAAGUCGCGCGAGAAGUUUCCUUCGGGAGACGGACAGCGGCGGAAGGGAGAGGAAUAAGUAGAAAUCUGCCCUCGGGACGGGGAUAGCGGCGGGAAACUGCCGGUAAUACCCGAUAACAUCUUUGGAUCAAAUGGUGUGAUUCCGCCUGAGGAUGAGUCUACUUCCUAUUAGCUAGUUGGUGUGGUAAUGGCUCACCAAGGCAACGAUGGGUAGCGGGUGUGAGAGCACGAUCCGCCUCACUGGGGCUGAGACACUGCCCAGACACCUACGGGUGGCUGCAGUCGAGAAUCUUCGGCAAUGGGGGAAACCCUGACCGAGCGACGCCGCGUGCGGGAUGAAGGCCCUCGGGUUGUAAACCGCUGUCGUAAGGGAACAAAUCUAAGAGGGUACUCCCUUUUAGUUGAGUGAUCUUAGGAGGAAGGACGGGCUAAGUUCGUGCCAGCAGCCGCGGUAAUG